Molecule: ribosomal RNA, 379 nt
Filed under: uncultured cyanobacterium
Lineage: Bacteria; Bacillati; Cyanobacteriota
Description: bacterial SSU rRNA
Rfam family: Bacterial small subunit ribosomal RNA
Source: RNAcentral
GGCAACCCUGACGGAGCAACGCCGCGUGGGGGAGGAGGGUCUGUGGAUUGUAAACCCCUUUUCUCAGGGAAGAAGUUCUGACGGUACCUGAGGAAUCAGCAUCGGCUAACUCCGUGCCAGCAGCCGCGGUAAGACGGAGGAUGCAAGCGUUAUCCGGAAUUAUUGGGCGUAAAGCGUCCGUAGGCGGUUUAUCAAGUCUGUCGUUAAAGACUGCAGCUUAACUGUGGGCGAGCGAUGGAAACUGAGGAACUGGAGUACGGUAGGGGUAGAGGGAAUUCCCAGUGUAGCGGUGAAAUGCGUAGAUAUUGGGAAGAACACCAGUGGCGAAGGCGCUCUACUGGGCCGUAACUGACGCUGAGGGACGAAAGCUAGGGGAGCG